GUGAAGUCUUGUAUCUCAGUCUUGGAGCUGGGAUGUGGAAAUUUGUCCUUCCACCUCUUCUCUGAAAACUUCAUUUGGCAAGAGAUCAUUGUAAAAAUCUUUGGAGUUCAAAUACUUCUACAGAAUUCUGCACUGAAGAUCAGUUUCAGAUUGUAACUGGUGUAUCACUGAAAUUGGGAGUUGGAUGUGGAAGGCAGCAAUGCUGUUCUGCUCUGUAUUUGUGGAUAUGUCUGAGCAAACGACUUCAGGGCUUUGGUCAUCCCAAAGAACAGCACUUCCUUGUGCUCUGUCUCCUUGCAGUCCAGAGUAAUAACCAGGUUUCUGAAGAUGUUCAGACACAUGCAAAGUUUAAAAUUAACUCCAAAAAAUUUUGGGUUUUUUCCUUUUUCCAUUUACUUUAUCUCUUCCCUUUAAUUAAAUAAGCCUGCCACCUCACAUGCCAUGGUCACGAUCUGAAACAUUUCGAUAAAGAUGUGUAAAAUGAUGUUAAAUUUUUGGCAUCCCUCUCAGGACUGAAACUGAAGCUGGAUCACAGGAAGAGAGACUAUGUCAUUGGGACCAACCAUUCAAUCAUUUCUGUUCUGGGAGAGUUUGAAACAUUGGGCACUGAAAUAAAAAAACGUCAUCAUAAAUUUUAUGGCUUUUGCUGAAACACUUAUGAUUUGAUGGAUGACAGCUAGAGCAACUGACUCCACAAUUCAGAGAGGACAAAAUAAUAAAAUUGCCAGAAACCUUCCUAAAAUACUCUGCCUGUGACAUAUAAGGAAGCAUACUGCAGUAUGGGCUGGCUCUGCUGGCAUUUGCUUUAAAUGACCGGCAUCAUAUCAGUGACCCUUCCAUCCCAGACUAAAGAGUAGAUGUUCAGAGUGACCUCUGUUAUCCAUUUAAUGCACUGUGCCUACACUGUCCUGUUUUUCUGAGAGCUGCCAAUGGAUACAAAUGAGGCAUAAACUUUGUGUUUUCCUUUAGAGAUAAUUUUGCCUUUCUAGAAAUUAAUUAUACAUUUACAUAAGAAGUAGCAUUCGAGACAAAUGUAUGUCUGCUGGACUAGUGAAUCCCAGAAAAAUGGUUCACUAAAUCUAAAGAUAGAUGACUAAAAUAUAUUAUGCAGGUCAUGUCUGAGAAGUAUUCAUCUCCUUUAAUUACAAAAGAGUAUUUAUCUCCCUUAAUUACAAAAGAAGUCUAGAUGACCUCAUGGGUUGUAUAUUAUAUAUAUCAACUUUCUGGCAAGAUGAAUCCCACCUGUACUGGCAGUGUUAUCAUGCAAUCUUCCAUUUGUUUGUGCCAAAUUACCAAGUACAGACUCUGUGCUGCAUAUGUGGCACUUGGGGAGAGAAAAGCUUACCCUGGAGGCAGGGUUCAACACAUAUAGGGUCUUGAGAGACAUUGCAACUCCCAGGAAUGACCAGGUAGAGUUCAGUUAUUCCACAGGAGGCCCCUUUCCCAGCCUGGGACUCUGGAGAUGCUACAUGAACAGGUAUAGACUGGCUGCUGCUUGAGGAGAACCUGACCAAAGGUCUUUGGCUCAAGGGCAACACACUUCUGUGUGCUGAGCACCUCCAUGGGUUGUCUGCUGGGACCUUUCUCAAUGCCAGCUGCCAGCAUCCCUCUGGGAGUGAGGAGUGCUUUGCAAAGUGGCAUGCAAGGAGAGAGGCAUGUGAAGAAAGAUGGAGAAAGAGGCUCUGGUAAAUCAUUAAAACACAUCAUUCUUCAUGCUGUAGAUCAACACACUUUCUGCUUUCUUUUUUGGUCUCCUACUACAGAUGUUUAACUUGUGUCAUGAGUGAAUAUUCUAGUCUUAAACUAAUAAAGUUUUCUAUGAAGGAGUGGUUUGAAUUUGCAGUAAUUCAAAUUUUAUUUUAAAAUUUUAUUUAGGAGGGCAUAAUUUGUAUGUAUAGUACUAUAUUUAUAGUAUUUUAAUUUGUUUCAUAAGCAUAUUUUGGGUCAUGAAGGAUGUUUAUGACAUACAUGUAUUAGUUUCAAGUACCUUUCUUCUUGAAAUCCUUUGUGUUUUGGGACACAGCCAGACAGGAUGACAGAAUGUUGGGUCGAUAGAACAUUUUAUCCUUGUAGGAAAAUUAAACAUUCCUGUCUAAUUUAAAAAAGGGAUUGCCUAAAACUUUAUAUGCUUUCAGGGUCCUCUUCCUGUUCAUUAGGAACAGUUCUGUAUUCUUUUGCAAUCAGCUCUCAUCAUUUAUUGUGUCAUUUCAAUUGUAAGUGGUUAAAAAAUGCCUGAAAAAGCUCUGUGGACAUCUAGUGUGUUAAUUGGAUGGGGAAGAAGAAGAUGUUCUUGUAAUGAGGUAUUAAAUGCAGUAUAAAAAAGCUCUGGACAAGACACUGCAGUUUACUGGCUGAUGUAUGGUUGAUUCAAUAUUGAAUGAGGAGCAAGAAUUCCUUUCAAACAAUGGUUGUCUUUUGUGUUGUGUUUUUUUUUAAUAACACUGCUGGGAAAUUUAGGAAAAAAUAAGUUCAUUUAAUUAAAAAAAAAGAUAAGACUAGUAUCCUCAGAAAAAAAAAUUUCUGAAAUUGAAUUUAUCUCACCCUCCUUCAGGCUAAUGAAUAAUAACACAUUCUGCUGACAGAAGGUAACUUUAGGAAUAUGAUAUCAUCACAGCUAAAUCUUACUGAUUGAUCUCAUGCAGUUAGCAGGA
Molecule: non-coding RNA, 2651 nt
Organism: Taeniopygia guttata (zebra finch)
Lineage: Eukaryota; Metazoa; Chordata; Aves; Passeriformes; Estrildidae
Source: RefSeq, a predicted model, not a curated record